AACGAACGCUGGCGGCAUGCCUAACACAUGCAAGUCGAACGAAACCUUCGGGUCUUGUGGCGCACGGGUGCGUACCGCGGGGGGACCUGCCCUUAGGUUCGGAAUAACUCCCCGAAAGGGGUGCUAAUGCCGGAUAAUGUAUUCGGACCAACGAUUUUUCGCCGUUGGGUGGGCCCGGGUUGGAUUAGCUAGUUGGUAGGGUAAAAGCCUGCCAAGGCGACGAUGCAUAGCUGGUCGGAGAGGAGGAUCAGCAGCGCUGGGACUGCGACACGGCCCAGACGCGUACGGGAGGCAGCAGUGGGGAAUAUUGGACGAUGGGCGAUAGCCUGACACAGCAACGCCGGGUGAGUGAUGCAGGGGUUAGGGUUGUAAAGCUCUUUUAGCCGGGACGAUAAUGACGGUACCGGGAGAAUAAGCUCCGGCUAACUACGUG
Molecule: ribosomal RNA, 433 nt
Filed under: uncultured bacterium
Lineage: Bacteria
Description: partial 16S ribosomal RNA
Rfam family: Bacterial small subunit ribosomal RNA
Source: RNAcentral